Molecule: ribosomal RNA, 492 nt
Filed under: uncultured bacterium
Lineage: Bacteria
Description: partial 16S ribosomal RNA
Rfam family: Bacterial small subunit ribosomal RNA
Source: RNAcentral
AGUGAACGCUGGCGGUAGGCCUAACACAUGCAAGUCGAACGGCAGCACAGUAAGAGCUUGCUCUUACGGGUGGCGAGUGGCGGACGGGUGAGGAAUACAUCGGAAUCUACUUUUUCGUGGGGGAUAACGUAGGGAAACUUACGCUAAUACCGCAUACGACCUACGGGUGAAAGCAGGGGAUCUUCGGACCUUGCGCGAUUGAAUGAGCCGAUGUCGGAUUAGCUAGUUGGCGGGGUAAAGGCCCACCAAGGCGACGAUCCGUAGCUGGUCUGAGAGGAUGAUCAGCCACACUGGAACUGAGACACGGUCCAGACUCCUACGGGAGGCAGCAGUGGGGAAUAUUGGACAAUGGGCGCAAGCCUGAUCCAGCCAUACCGCGUGGGUGAAGAAGGCCUUCGGGUUGUAAAGCCCUGUUGUUGGGAAAGAAAAGCAGCAGGUUAAUACCCCGCUGUUCUGACGGUACCCAAAGAGUAAGCACCGGCUAACUUCGUG